GCAAUGCCCAAUACAGUCAGAUUCCCACACUCCGACAACUCCUCCGGUAAUCCUCCUCGGAGAUCACGAUUACCGCCAAUGCGCAGGAUUUCAAGUGAGGUGAGCUUACCGAUCGAACUCGGUAUUCUACCCGAAAUCAUAUUAUCAUAGACAUGUAGCUCUUUAAUCCCAACCGUGCCGGAACCUCCUCGCAUAACUGGUAUCUCUCCAGAUAGCUGAUUAGAGCUGAGGUCAACGAAUAAAAGCGAAGAAAUCUCAAACAAACCCGUCGGUAUCUCCCCGGUCAGCGAAUUAGAGCUAAGAUCAAGCAC
This 311-nucleotide long non-coding RNA is filed under the name Zostera marina. Its description in RNAcentral is "long non-coding RNA (ZMAR_LNC004121)". Lineage: Eukaryota; Viridiplantae; Streptophyta; Magnoliopsida; Alismatales; Zosteraceae. The record is from RNAcentral.